Molecule: ribosomal RNA, 484 nt
Filed under: uncultured bacterium
Lineage: Bacteria
Description: partial 16S ribosomal RNA
Rfam family: Bacterial small subunit ribosomal RNA
Source: RNAcentral
AUUGAACGCUGGCGGAAUGCUUUACACAUGCAAGUCGAACGGCAGCACGGGGGCAGCCCUGGUGGCGAGUGGCGAACGGGUGAGUAAUACAUCGGAACGUGCCCGGUCGUGGGGGAUAACGUAGCGAAAGUUACGCUAAUACCGCAUACGAUCUGAGGUUGAAAGCGGGGGACCUUCGGGCCUCGCGCGAUCGGAGCGGCCGAUGUCAGAUUAGGUAGUUGGUGGGGUAAAGGCCUACCAAGCCGACGAUCUGUAGCUGGUCUGAGAGGACGACCAGCCACACUGGAACUGAGACACGGCCCAGACUCCUACGGGAGGCAGCAGUGGGGAAUGUUGGACAAUGGGCGCAAGCCUGAUCCAGCCAUUCCGCGUGCAGGACGAAGGCCUUCGGGUUGUAAACUGCUUUUGUACGGAACGAAAAGGCUCUGGCUAAUACCUGGGGCUCAUGACGGUACCGUAAGAAUAAGCACCGGCUAACUACGUG